RNAcentral lists this microRNA (23 nucleotides) under Macaca fascicularis (crab-eating macaque). Its description in RNAcentral is "novel_miR27-3p". Lineage: Eukaryota; Metazoa; Chordata; Mammalia; Primates; Cercopithecidae. The record is from RNAcentral.
UUCUUUUCUUUCCUUCCCUGUAG